This 458-nucleotide ribosomal RNA is filed under the name uncultured bacterium. RNAcentral describes it as "partial 16S ribosomal RNA". It matches the Rfam family "Bacterial small subunit ribosomal RNA", at positions 338 to 795 of the family's 1533-position model. The record is from RNAcentral.
CCUACGGGUGGCAGCAGUGAGGAAUAUUGGUCAAUGGGCGGGAGCCUGAACCAGCCAUGCCGCGUGAAGGCGAGUGCCCUACGGGCGUUAAACUUCUUUUGUGCGGGAGCAAUAAGGGCCACGUGUGGCCCGAUGAGAGUACCGCACGAAUAAGCAUCGGCUAACUCCGUGCCAGCAGCCGCGGUAAUACGGGGGAUGCGAGCGUUAUCCGGAUUUAUUGGGUUUAAAGGGAGCGUAGGCCGCAUGUCAAGCGUGCUGUGAAAUGUCCGGGCUCAACCCGGGCCUUGCAGCGCGAACUGGCGUGCUUGAGUCCGCGGAAAGCAGGCGGAAUUCGUCGUGUAGCGGUGAAAUGCUUAGAUAUGACGAAGAACCCCGAUUGCGAAGGCAGCUUGCUGCAGCGGAACUGACGCUGAUGCUCGAAAGCGCGGGUAUCGAACAGGAUUAGAUACCCCGUAGUC